GUGCUCUCUUUGGUAGCACAUAUACUAAAAUUAAAAUGAUACAGAGAUUAGCAUGGCCCCUG
Small nuclear RNA from Cercocebus atys (sooty mangabey), 62 nucleotides. Lineage: Eukaryota; Metazoa; Chordata; Mammalia; Primates; Cercopithecidae. The record is from Ensembl.